Molecule: long non-coding RNA, 239 nt
Organism: Nycticebus coucang (slow loris)
Lineage: Eukaryota; Metazoa; Chordata; Mammalia; Primates; Lorisidae
Exons: 3
Source: RefSeq, a predicted model, not a curated record
GCUCUCCCCAAGGCAGUUCAGCUGAGUGCCAAGUCCAAAGACACCAAAACAGUUCACAGACAGGGGAUAAACCAGCAAGCUGUGACGGUCAUCUAGGAAGGACAUGGAGAUCCAUAUAGUUCUAUCUUUUAGGUCUUCCCCUUGUGCAUGGCCAUUUUUGCCAUGGGUUGGCCACCAAGGUGCGUCCAGUAAAUGGAGGGAACAGAUAGUGAGGAAGUGAGAAGAGAGGCCCUGUGGAG